Molecule: ribosomal RNA, 250 nt
Filed under: uncultured bacterium
Lineage: Bacteria
Description: partial 16S ribosomal RNA
Rfam family: Bacterial small subunit ribosomal RNA
Source: RNAcentral
UACGUAGGUGGCAAGCGUUGUCCGGAUUUACUGGGUAUAAAGGGCGUGUAGGCGGGAAGAUAAGUCAGAUGUGAAAUUCCAGGGCUCAACUCUGGCGCUGCAUCUGAAACUAUUUUUCUUGAGUGAUGGAGAGGAAAGCGGAAUUCCUAGUGUAGCGGUGAAAUGCGUAGAUAUUAGGAGGAACACCAGUGGCGAAGGCGGCUUUCUGGACAUUAACUGACGCUGAGGCGCGAAAGCGUGGGGAGCAAAC